RNAcentral lists this long non-coding RNA (3704 nucleotides) under Homo sapiens (human). RNAcentral describes it as "HSALNT0320483". The record is from RNAcentral. Lineage: Eukaryota; Metazoa; Chordata; Mammalia; Primates; Hominidae.
UCAGUCAAGGGUUUACUGUCCUACCCUCUCUAGGCUUCAGCCUCCUCAUUUGUAAUUCAUGUUAACAACUACAGAUAAACUCCAAGGAUUCUUCAGCUUUUAGGAAUGAGAGACAGAAAGUAAUCUAAAGUAUCCCUACAAUCUAACAGGCAAUAAAGAUAAACAAAUGAAAUACCACAAGUGCAGUAAAAGAGUUACGUUUAAGGCACACAAAAACAAAAAGUGAGGUACAUGCAGGGAAAUUAGAAAAGGUAUCACUGAAAAAGUAGUAUUAAUAUGUGAGCUGAAUCACAGAAGAGUAUAUAGUACUUUCCAAAGAGGUAAAGCUUGAAAGGAAAAACACGUAUAAAAAUAUCAGAAGUGAAGCACUUACACAAUGGAAAAGUAACAACCUCCAAAAAUUUGCUCCUUUAUUAAAAAAAGCAAUGAGGAUACUGGCAAAAAUUGUCAAAAUCAACUUUUUCACAACCCUAGAAAUUAGCUAAAGCCUUGUAACAAUGUUUUUAUUCAAGAAUAUUGGAUGAAUCUCAGUAAAAACAGCAAGCUUUGCAGCAUUUUAACUUGCUUUAUUCCCAUCCUUCUCUCUCCAGCUCCAUGAUAGCCUUCAAGCCAUACAGCUCACAACCACAGUAGCUGUGAAAACUACCAACCUAGCAACCACUGGAGGAAACAAAACAGGUUUAGAGCUCACCAAAAAGCCCAAGACUUGUCACUGUUAGACCUGUCAGUCAGCUACCUGGAAAAGCUCCAUUCUCCAGGAGACUGGCUAAGGAAGAAUGCGAUCUGUGGAAACAACAGAACUGGCAUCACCUGAGAGCUUGCAGAUACCACAGAAACUCCGGCCCUACCCAGAUGUACUAAAUGAGGUCCUCCGUGUUGCUAUGCUGAAUUCAACUGAAGAAGCUGAAGUAUUGCACCUUUACGCUACAUACUUUACAGUUCACAAAUACACUAUUUCAUGUAUGACUUGUCCUCUCUAAACUGAGAGAACAGACUAACCUGGGAGAAGCUGGAAUUUAAACUUUUAAAAUUAAUCGUGACAUCUUAGCUCAAGUAACUGUAACACAUGGUUUGACUGCCUUAGGAAAAUACAAAGCAGAAAAGCUUUAACUUUGAAAUUCAAGCAAAAAUAUUUGAGAAUACGUCUUCCACCUCAUACUCCCCAUGCACCCAGUAAUACUCCAGCUGCCUUCAGACUAUUAAAAGUCCCGAGGUCCCUUAAACCAGUUCCAAGUCCCCACCCCAAUCAAAGGACAAUGCCCAUACAUACAGGAGCUAUGACUAUAGCUACAGGCCAAUGCCUAUACAGCAUAGGAGCCAAUUAAAGAGGCCAUAAGUAAAAGUACUUAGGCAUAAGGAAACAAAAUGAAAAAUAAAAAUAAAAGAAAGAGGCCAUAACUACUAGAAAAAGUGCUGGUCACGAGAACUAAGUUCUACUCUCCACAAUCAACACUAAUAAUGUGACUUUGGGUUCAUUCAUUACUCCAUUUUCUCAUGGUUAAAUGAGGGAACUAAAUUUGGACAAUCACUACAAUUACGGGAAAUUUAAUGAAGCACUAGCAUUUUCAAAGAAAGACUAUUAGUCCAACAAUACCAAUUACAGUUAAUAUAAUACUCAGGAUAUUUUCUGUAAGAGGCUCUGAGAAGGUCCUGUUUUAAAUUCAGGUUCUUACACAUUGUUUCCUAUAUUUCGUCUUCCAAAGCAAAAGAAAAAAAGAAAAAAAUCAGUGAAAUUGACCUUAUACUAUCCAUAAUGGCCCACCACAACUUUUUGAAAUACCUUUAGUGUAUUUAAAAAAAAAAAAAAAAAAAACAGCCACUAUUCUAAGAUGAAAACAAAUCUGAACCUUGAAUCUGUAUAUAAGGGUUUCUCAAGCUAGAAAUUUAUGGGCAUUAGUUACAUCCAACCUCGAACACUAUGGAUUCAUACAGCCCUUACAAAUGCACUUCCAACCAUCCCUAUGGAUAGGCAAAAAAUACCAUACACAAACACAUAUUUAAAAAAAAAAAAACUCAUGAGUUUGCAAUAUUUCUAAAGUUCCCACUGCACUAAGGUGAAAAACUAUAAAACCCAUAACAGCUACCUUCACUUGUUUAAAAAUAAAAACAAGUACCAAUUUUGGUUGAGAUCCUUAGAAUUUCUCCUUUGGGUUGCAUAAACAUUUUGCUAAAAGAUGAAAAUUUACCAAAGAUUUAGCAAUCCAGUUAACUAUUCACUAGGAUUUAAACUGAGCUGUCUGGAUGAGUUAACCAUAAUACUGUGCUAAUGAAACUAAGGAUCUAUUCCAAUUUCAAUUUAGGCCCAUUAGGUAGACAAAAAAAAAAAAAAAAAUCCUUAGAUCCACAUUACUGCACGUAACAGUUAACUAUCUUACAUACUCCUGUUAGUGAUCAUAGAAGACACCAUCAAAAGCCUAUGCACAUCUGAGCACAUAUACCCCCAACCUCUGAACAAAUAUUUCAGAAUACAUGGCCUACUGAUCAUGAGUCAGUAGCAACUUUUUUUUUCUGUGCCUGUAUAAAAAAAUAGACCAUUAACAUUCAACGGAAGAGAGUCUGUGAUGCAGGCAAGAGAAUGAAAAAAUGGGUAAUUGCCAGUGAUGCAUAAUCCCACUCCCUAGAAAAAUAGUCCUGACAAGAUUCAGGAAAAAAAAAAAUUACUUUAGUAGUAGUAUCUUUAUGAUUCAGAAAGAAUAGUAAAACCUAAACUAACCACUGACAAUCUCAUUCAAAAGAGAAUACUUAUGUAUAAAGCUCCAGGCAGCCCUAACAAUGGUCCAACCAGCAAAAAUAAAGCAAAAUAAGUAAAUACAGCAUUUAGGCAAGGGGAAAUAGUGUACUGGAACCCUCUCUUCCAGAAAUUGAAAGAAAGAAUAGUCAAGGGUGGUUUGCUACCCUCUGACCUUUGGGCCAGGCUUACAAAUUUCCUAAUCUAAAAGCAAACUAAAUGUCUUUCCACCUAGAAAAUAAGUACCUUCAAUAUCAUACAGUUCAGUUAGAGGAAUCCCCAAAGUUAAUGCUCAUUUGUUUCCCUCCCCAGGAGCCUUAAGGAGAUAAGAUCCCCUUCUUCUUCCUAAUACCCUCAUCCUCUUAGACACCAUUCAUCCCAUUGAGUGGUACUAUCCGCCACUCAAGAUAAAGCCAUACACAGCUGACCACCCCCAAAACUGUUUUCUUAAGAUCAGUUAUCCAAAGCACAUACUUUAGACUACCCAGCUCCCACUCUGUCUAACGGUAGUGGCUCAAGGGAAUUCAGGCUAGAACAUUUUGAGAGUCACAUCAAAUACAAGCAAUGCAGUACCCACAAAACAAAGAUGUACUAUACAUAUAACCAUAACAGAAAUAAAACAGGCUAGGAGUCCAAAAAUAAAUCUGGUAGUAUUUUUUCAUCCAUCUAUUUAAUGCUAGAACUACAUUAUUAACAAAUAUCUCUAUCUCCUUAUUUUAAAAUGGACAGAACUUCAAAAACAGAGUCAGCCUUCUCCUAAAUAUCAACUGAACAGCUUGAUAUGUCAAAUAUGGCUGCUAUCCAAUUGUUUCAUAGUAAUUUGUAGCAAGCCCUCUGAUCACUUUUGAAUACCAAAACUCAACCUCUUACAGAGGUACUCAAUACUAUCAUGAGUACAGCACUGCAAGAGAUAAAAGACGAAUACAAGGCCAAGCAUGGUGCCUCACACCUGUAAUCCCAGCACUUUGGGAGGCCA